RNAcentral lists this ribosomal RNA (463 nucleotides) under uncultured bacterium. Its description in RNAcentral is "bacterial SSU rRNA". It matches the Rfam family "Bacterial small subunit ribosomal RNA", at positions 339 to 794 of the family's 1533-position model. The record is from RNAcentral.
CUACGGGAGGCAGCAGUGGGGAAUUUUGCGCAAUGGGCGAAAGCCUGACGCAGCAACGCCGCGUGGGUGAUGAAGGUCUUCGGAUUGUAAAACCCUGUCGUCGAGGACGAAGGUGGUCCGGUUAAUAACCGGGUUACUUGACGGUACUCGGAGAGGAAGCCCCGGCUAACUCUGUGCCAGCAGCCGCGGUAAUACAGAGGGGGCAAGCGUUAUUCGGAAUUAUUGGGCGUAAAGGGCGCGUAGGCGGUUUUUUAAGUCGGAUGUGCAAUCCCCGAGCUCAACUUGGGAACUGCAUCCGAGACUGGGAGACUAGAGUACUGGAGAGGUUGGUGGAAUUCCACGUGUAGCGGUGAAAUGCGUAGAGAUGUGGAGGAACACCAGUGGCGAAGGCGGCCAACUGGACAGUAACUGACGCUGAGGCGCGAAAGUGUGGGGAGCAAACAGGAUUAGAUACCCCGGUAGU